This 69-nucleotide transfer RNA is filed under the name Podarcis lilfordi (Lilford's wall lizard). Its description in RNAcentral is "tRNA.Lys". The stretch from base 4 to 61 matches the Rfam family "tRNA", at positions 8 to 63 of the family's 71-position model. Rfam says of the family: Transfer RNA (tRNA) molecules are approximately 80 nucleotides in length. Their secondary structure includes four short double-helical elements and three loops (D, anti-codon, and T loops). Lineage: Eukaryota; Metazoa; Chordata; Lepidosauria; Squamata; Lacertidae. The record is from RNAcentral.
GGAUAGCUCAGUUUGCAAAGCAUGAGACUCUUAAUCUCAAGGUCGUGAGUUUGAGCCCCACGUUGGGCA